This 1334-nucleotide long non-coding RNA is filed under the name Anolis carolinensis (green anole). Its description in RNAcentral is "lncRNA (ENSACAG00000039855.1)". The record is from RNAcentral. Lineage: Eukaryota; Metazoa; Chordata; Lepidosauria; Squamata; Anolidae.
GGUGUAGACAACUCUUGCUAUCUGUUCACAUUGAUAAGACUUGGCUGUUCAUUAUUAUUGUUUUUUUAUACUCCGCAAAGGAGACUCAAAGUUCUCAAAGGCGAACUGAAAUUAAGUUCAAGGUGGGGGCAUUCACACUCUUUUUUUAAAAUCCACUUAGAUCAGACUUCAAAAGCGACAGCUAAGAUACAGCAACGUAUUCAAUUACUCCAACGUUACAAAGCUGAAAAAGAACUAAGGAAAUUAAAGGAGCAACGAGAGAAACCUGUGUUUAAAUGUGGCCGGUUCAAGCCAGAAGCCCCGGGCUUUCUUACAAAAGCAUCACAGAUCCCAGUCCUGAGCAAGCCGAAAGAGACGGUGGUGAAAACAGCAACUGUGGAGGCACCUCCCGUGCGGGUAACAAGAUCAAAGACGAAGAACCAGGCGCAAGAUCCAAUUAGACCACAGCUUUCUUUGGUUGGUUUUGUAUUUUUAAUUAUUUAUACUGUUGAAAUUUUAAUACAGACGGAAACAAAUUGCCACGGUUUUGUUUGAUUGUGAUGCGGUUGAAAUUCCUCAAAUGCCAACUGUACUGCUCUUGUGAUCAGUACCUGAACUAAAAGAUUGACAGGUUGAGAACUGCUCAUAUCAAUUGAGAACUUUUUUAUGUCUAGUAAUAUACUGUGCUACAUAAUUUGUCCUACAGUCAGCCCUCCACAUUCACUGGGGUUAGGAGUGCAGGGUCAUGGUGAAAGCAGAACAGCUGCAAAUAUUGGAGAGAAACCCCUCUAGGGAUUUCUAGGUCCUCUAGCACAUCUCUAUGAUCAGCCUCCAUGAGAGGUUGAUCCCAGUCUUAUGCUGGAGACUGGGGAUUUCUGGAGAGACCGUAUUGAUCAAUUCUGCAAAAGCUAAAUCCACAAAUGUGGUGGGCUGACUGUAGUUACACAGUUCUUUCAAGCCAGAUGCUUGAUCUCCAAAGACCUCUUUUUGCUGAAAUAGUUUUUAAAUAGGAUGAACACUUAAAUUGUCUUUCUACCCGAGGAGUAGAAAGAUGCACAAAUCGACAGCCUCAUGUGUAACAGAGACCUUUGCUUUAGAUCACUUCUUCAGUUGGGUGUUGCCUUCAAUGCAUGCUAUUUAGCAGGAAUUACUUAAAAGCAAUACCUUCUGCUAGCCAUCUGCAACAAGUAGGGUUAUCCUUCAGAUGAUUAGACAUGAUACUUUCCAAAGAAUAGAUCUUUGGAUUUUUUAUUAAAUCAGGGAGAUAGAAUGCCAAGGUGGUUGGACAUAAAAGAAAACCUGCAAACUCCAAAGGGGUGGAUGGUUAGUAGAAAAUGUGCAUUUCUUGGGUCAUG